GACGAACGCUGGCGGCGUGCCUAAUACAUGCAAGUCGAGCGGAGUUGACGAGAAGCUUGCUUCUCUGAUACUUAGCGGCGGACGGGUGAGUAACACGUAGGCAACCUGCCCUCAAGCUUGGGACAACUACCGGAAACGGUAGCUAAUACCGAAUACAUGAUUUGUUCGCCUGAACGAAUUUGGAAAGACGGAGCAAUCUGUCACUUGAGGAUGGGCCUGCGGCGCAUUAGCUAGUUGGUGAGGUAACGGCUCACCAAGGCGACGAUGCGUAGCCGACCUGAGAGGGUGAUCGGCCACACUGGGACUGAGACACGGCCCAGACUCCUACGGGAGGCAGCAGUAGGGAAUCUUCCGCAAUGGACGCAAGUCUGACGGAGCAACGCCGCGUGAGUGAUGAAGGUUUUCGGAUCGUAAAGCUCUGUUGCCAGGGAAGAACGUCCGGGUUAGUAACUGAACCCGGAGUGACGGUACCUGAGAAGAAAGCCCCGGCUAACUACGUGCCAGCAGCCGCGGUAAU
RNAcentral lists this ribosomal RNA (517 nucleotides) under uncultured bacterium. Its description in RNAcentral is "bacterial SSU rRNA". It matches the Rfam family "Bacterial small subunit ribosomal RNA", at positions 28 to 524 of the family's 1533-position model. The record is from RNAcentral.